Molecule: ribosomal RNA, 403 nt
Filed under: uncultured organism
Description: bacterial SSU rRNA
Rfam family: Bacterial small subunit ribosomal RNA
Source: RNAcentral
UGCCUAACACAUGCAAGUCGAGCGAGAAAAGGAGCUUCGGCUCCUGAGUACAGCGGCGAACGGGUGCGUAACACGUGGGUGAUCUGUCCUUGAGAUGGGGAUAACCCAGCGAAAGUUGGGCUAAUACCGGAUAAGACCACAGGAGGAAACUCCAGGGGUCAAAGGGUGCUCUCUUCGGGGAGCAUUCGCUUGAGGAGGAGCCCGCGGCCUAUCAGCUUGUUGGUAGGGUAACGGCCUACCAAGGCAAAGACGGGUAGCUGGUCUGAGAGGAUGACCAGCCACACUCGUUAGUUGGCACGGCCCCGACUCCUACGGGAGGCAGCAGUGGGGAAUAUUGGGCAAUGGGGGAAACCCUGACCCAGCCCGCCGCGUGGGUGAUGAAGGCCUUCGGGUCGUAAAGGAC